RNAcentral lists this transfer RNA (72 nucleotides) under bacterium. RNAcentral's name for it is "tRNA-Ser". It matches the Rfam family "tRNA". From Rfam's summary of the family: Transfer RNA (tRNA) molecules are approximately 80 nucleotides in length. Their secondary structure includes four short double-helical elements and three loops (D, anti-codon, and T loops). The record is from RNAcentral.
GGGCCGGUAGUUUAACGGUUAAAACACCGCUCUUGACAGGCGGCAUUCGGGGUCAGAGUCCCCGCCGGUCCA